Molecule: non-coding RNA, 3888 nt
Organism: Electrophorus electricus (electric eel)
Lineage: Eukaryota; Metazoa; Chordata; Actinopteri; Gymnotiformes; Gymnotidae
Source: RefSeq, a predicted model, not a curated record
CUGCUGGGGGAAUCCAGGGAAAAAAACAGAUUUAUGAAUAGAAAACAUUAAUUUUAACUCUUUCAAAUGCGUGAAUCCCAUAAUGUGUAACGAUUGUUUUAAUGUCUAAACGCAUCAAAUCAUAAGGAUAUGUUUUUUAUAAUGCAUGAUGUAAGAUUGUAGAAAUAACAUUAUUGAUUUCGUAUGGCGAGAUACUGAAUCACGCAUAUUAAAAUGCUGUAAUUUUAUAGACGGCUUCAUGCAAUUCUGUGACUACGCUUAAACUUGCAUAUCAGUGCAACAGAGAUCAUUUUUAGAUUAAUGCACGGUUUGGAGUGGCAAUAAAGCAAGCGCUUUCAUCCACUUACACUGAUUUAAACUGUUAUUGUGUUAUUUCAGUACAUUCGACUUAAAAGUAAUAUUUUGGCGCGAUAUUGCUAUUAUUAUUAACCAAUGCAGCCUUUAGGUUGCUUAUGUAGAGAAUGCCCACAAGCCGCGGAUAAAUCCUGUUACGAGUUUAGACUGUAGUUGAUAUUCUCUUACCUUCGGAACAAAAUGGAUGCUGCGUGGAGCAAUUUUCUCUUCCAGACCACACCUACUCAAACCCAAGUGGAGAGCACCCUCCAAUCAGAGCUUCUGCCUGUCCACACAAGCUCACCCCAGAGCCCGCCCGCCGAACACAUAGCCCCGCCUCCAUCGACAGUGGACACUGCUGCACUUAGCGAGGACCCUCUACCUGUGAAGCCAGCGCCUCGGCAGGGCCGUGUGGCUCACAUCUGCUCCAUCUGCAGCAAGCAGUUCAAGAACAGCUACAACCUGCGGCGUCACCAGUCUGUCCACACGGGCAUUCGCAUGAAGGGUGGUGCCUCGCAGAACCGGGAGGCCAAAGACAUGGUGGAGAGACCUGCCGUGCCACUGUCGCUCCUCCAGCUGUCCAUGCCCCAGGUGCCAGGCAUGUCCCCCACGCCUGUGCUUGCUGCCCCCCUGCCGCAGUCCUCAGUCGCUCAGGACACAAACGUGUCAGUCAUGGCCAGUGUGGCCUCCACGGUCACGCCCCUUCCCCCACCCACGGCAGUCGUCAUGACAACAGGGGAGCCCAUCCAGCAGAGGCCGGUAAACCCCAACCCAAACCCAGUUCGGAAGAACCAUGCAUGCGAAACAUGCGGCAAAGCCUUCCGGGACGUUUACCACCUGAACCGGCACCGGCUCUCCCACUCGGAUGAGAAGCCCUUCUCUUGUCCCAUCUGUCAGCAGCGCUUCAAAAGGAAAGACCGCAUGAGCCACCAUGUGCGCUCGCACCAGGGUGGCGUAGAGAAGCCCUACGUGUGUCCCCACUGCUCCAAGGCCUUCUCUCGUCCUGACCAUCUCAACAGCCAUGUCAGACAAGUUCAUUCUUCAGAAAGACCUUUCAAAUGCCCGACAUGCGAGUCAUGUUUUGCCACAAAAGACCGACUGCGUGCUCAUAUGAUCCGCCAUGAGGAGAAGGUGCCCUGUCACAUCUGUGGCAAACUACUGUCAGCCGCUUACAUCACCGAUCACAUGAGGGUGCACAACCAAUCACAACAUCAUGCCUGCCACUUGUGUAACCGAAGCUUCACUACGUUGACAUACCUGCGCAUCCAUGCGCAGAAGCACCACGGACAGGAGUGGAAAGAAAGCGGCGGCCUCGGCUCAGCCAGCAGUGGCGGCGCGCUCGUCUGCCAGCUCUGUGGCGUGCACUGCAAGACCCCCGCACAGCUGCAGGGCCACAUGGGUACCCACAACCCCCCAGCAAGUGAGCCACCCCCAGUGAGCCGUAGUGACGGGGCGGAGGGGGGCUUGGUACCCGCGCCCGCUGUGUUCGUCAGCGGCAGUGCUGUGGUGGACCUGCUGGUCACUGACUGCUCCUGCAUUGCCCAACAGCCACAGAGCUAGUAGUGCAGGCCUGUAACAGACACACACAGACACACACAUACAAUCGCAUGCACUCAGCUAGCCAUAGUACGUACAUUAGGUACAUACCUCUAAAAAACAUAGGACAUAUUUAUAAAAAUAUACUGUAUACUGUAACCCUCUCUCUUUCUCCUCCACACCACACUACUAGAUCUGAUACUGUGAAAAGCACUCUAAUACAGCUAGCUGAGCAGCUCAAACCCACUACACUACUAUUGUAGCAAAUAAAGUCACCUCAGUAUAACACAUUGCACGCAGAAUUGGCACGCAUCUGUCUUUGCACCUAAAGGACAUGCAGACCUUCAGUGUGUUGUCUCAGACAUGGCUGGGUGAGAUCGCCAACAUGCCAAGGACUCUGAUCUAAUGAUACUGUGAUUGUGACUUUCUACUGUAUCUCUUCCACUUCCCUUCCCAUUAUCUGCGUCAUGGGGGUCAUCUCAUGUGCCACGCCGCACCCUGCCACCAGCGCUCUCCUCCCAAGAGUCCAUCUUUUCUAGUUCCGCAUUCUUAACCACGAAGACGUGAAAGGGAAGGAAUGAAAAUGAGCUAGGAAGAGGUAAAAGAGGGGUGCAAAGAGGCAACAAAGGUGUGGAGAGGUUCAGCAAGCUAUAGAACAGUAAUAUCUCUUUUCCUACAGAAAUGGAGCACUUCAAACACACACUGUGUUAAAGGGAAUGCAUUCUGAGUGUGCUUUGGGAAGUUGUGUUUGUGCAUGAGAACUGAGGUGUGCAUAUGUGCUGUGUGCAGAAUGGAUAACUGUUUAGAGCAUUAGUAGUUCAGUCAAAUGUGUGGAAGAAACAAGAGUUGUAUUCAGGAUCAUUGUGCACCUUAACAUGGUCACUUGAUUUUUCUUUUUUUGUUUAUUUGUUUUGUUUUGUUUUGUUUUCAUCUUUAGUUGGUUUCCUAGCUGUUUUAAUUUGAUUCUUGACAGGUGGAAACUUGAUUUUAGUAAAAACAACUCUUGACUCAAUACAAUACAGCGCCACAUGUUCAUGAUUUUUCUGCAAAUUAAGAGAAUGCUACAGGAGGAUCUGGCUUCUCUUUUUCUCCUCUUUGCAAGUGGAAAAAGGCUCACACAGAAUGAGUGCAACUUGUUACUGCUUCCAAGAGGACUUGAUGAAAUGAUAAUUUUACUCAUGACUGUUUUUAUUGUUUUUGUGUCUGUUGUGAAUGUGUAAAUCAGGUGUUUGAAAGAAGGGCUUAGUCAAGUGAUAUUAAUCCUAAUACCCAGGAGUGAUCUUCUAGCCCCUCUGUUAAGUUUAAGUUAAGAUAGAUGGUGGUUGGCAGGUGGGGUGUCCUGGUUUUGUACUGGAAUGAUUUGUUUGAUCAGUUUAUUGUUGGUACUGUAUAUUAUUUGGUUAUUCACUAACUUAAUUUUCUGAUUGCUUCUACUUAGAAUGGUUGUUUUAAUUAGAUUUGAAUCAUACUUAGGUUAUUAUCUUUAAUUUAGCACUAAGCUGAAAUAAUACCUCUUCUGUAGGAAUCAGUACAGUUCUGGCACUGCAUCUCAAUGCCUUAUUGUACCAUUUUACCACCUUUUAAUUCGUAAAACUAAUGGUAUUUUAAAUCUUAGUCUUGGAACCAGUAAAAAUAUUAAUGGGAUGUAUUUAUAUUUAUAUUUUUAUAUUUCUCAACAGUAUGCAUGUCUAUUAGCAUUGUUAGAGGAAAAAAUGUUGAUGCUUACUAUGAUCAUAAAUAUUAUGUUAUUAUUUUGUAGAUUAUGUAGAUCAUAUUAUUUUGUAAUUUUGACUAUUAAAAGAAAGACAAGUAAUUGUAUUGCUUUUGAUGAUGUGUUGUAUCACAAAGACUUAUUUAUUUAUUUUCCCUAAUUAAUUGUUUUGGUUCGAGACUGUGUGUUUAGGUGUGGGCAAGAGAAACGUGUUUCUGUGAGGAUUUGACCGUCACCUCAACGCUGUAAAUCUCUUCCUUCCAAAUUUGACAGUAGCCUGUAUUAAAUAAAGCAGUCCUAAAAUCCUA